GAGCGAUGAAGAAUUAUGGAGUUAGUUGAUGGAUUGAAUUUCAUCACGUUCAUCUGAAUUUCAGAUGAAACUUGUAUAUCUGAGCUC
This is a small nucleolar RNA of Dioscorea cayenensis subsp. rotundata (Guinea yam), 87 nucleotides long. RefSeq annotates it as small nucleolar RNA snoR114. The transcript has a single exon. The record is from RefSeq and is a predicted model, not a curated record. Lineage: Eukaryota; Viridiplantae; Streptophyta; Magnoliopsida; Dioscoreales; Dioscoreaceae.